This 768-nucleotide long non-coding RNA is filed under the name Camelus dromedarius (Arabian camel). RNAcentral describes it as "lncRNA (ENSCDRG00005022431.1)". Lineage: Eukaryota; Metazoa; Chordata; Mammalia; Artiodactyla; Camelidae. The record is from RNAcentral.
CCGCGGUGGGCUCAGCGCGAGGCUGCGCGGAGCGGCGGCUCGGCCCCGCUGAGGUGGAAGCGGGGCCAGGCCACAGCGGCCUUGCUGCAGCCCGAGCUCAGAGCGGCUGAGGUCACCCCUCCCUGAAGCCCUCGAGACUCUGCGGUGGGACGCACCAGCCCUUUCCCCUGACAUCAGAACAGUGUGGCCGGAAGCAUAAACUGGGUGAAGCAGUGGCCCCCACAACCGCCAGCGGCUCUGAGGAGAAGUCUUCCGCGGAGGCAGCAGCUGCAGCAGCAUCACCGACCCGCCCGCCAUGGAAGACAUGAACCAGUCGCCUCUGGUCUCCUCGUCCUCGGACAGCCCGCCCCGGCCUCAGCCUGCGUUCAAGUACCAGUUCGUGAGGGAGCCCGAGGACGAAGAGGAAGAGGAGGAGGAGGAGGAAGACGAGGACGAGGACGAAGACUUGGAGGAGCUGGAGGUGCUGGAAAGGAAGCCGCCGCCGGCUUUCGGCGGCCCCGGUGCCCCCUGCCGCCGCCCCCGCCGGCGCUCCCCUGCUGGACUUUGGCAAUGACUUCGUGCCCCCGGCCCCCCGGGGGCCCCUGCCGGCCGCGCCCCUCGCCGCCCCGGAACGGCAGCCGUCUUGGGACCCGAGCACCGCGUCGUCGGCCGUGCCCGCGCCCUCCCCACCCUCCGCUGCCGCAGCCGCGCCCUCCAAGCUCCCCGAGGACGAUGAGCCUCCGGCCCGGCCUCCCCCGCCUCCCCCGGCGGCGUGAGCCCUCAGGCUGA